GGUUUAAUUCGAUGAUACGCGAGGAACCUUACCCGGGCUUGAAUUGCAGAGGAAGGAUUUGGAGACAAUGACGCCCUUCGGGGCCUCUGUGAAGGUGCUGCAUGGUUGUCGUCAGCUCGUGCCGUGAGGUGUCGGCUUAAGUGCCAUAACGAGCGCAACCCCUCUCCUUAGUUGCCAUCAGGUGAAGCUGGGCACUCUGGGGACACUGCCACCGUAAGGUGUGA
RNAcentral lists this ribosomal RNA (224 nucleotides) under uncultured bacterium. RNAcentral describes it as "partial 16S ribosomal RNA". It matches the Rfam family "Bacterial small subunit ribosomal RNA", at positions 943 to 1167 of the family's 1533-position model. The record is from RNAcentral.